AGCCCAGUAGCCCACGCAAUCGUCCGUCUCCAACACAAUCCGCCGCCGCCGUCUCCUCCCAUCCCCGUCUCGCAUCCGCCGUCGGCCGAUUGACGAGUGUUUCCCGAAUUCUUCGUCCGCCGUCCCUCCCCGCACUCACGCACGCGUAGACCCAUCUUCCUCGCUCGCCUCGUUCCGUGGUUCCUGUACGAUUCAGGGGUCAAUUGAUGUCAGGUUCGGCUUCCAUCCAAACCGGCCGCCGGCCAGUCCACCGAGGGGAGAGUGACCACGCGAACCCUAGACGCCACGGAGAUGGAGCAUCUCCGCCGCCUCGCCCAGUUCUUGCUCGCCUCAGCUCGCGGGGAUGGAGCAGGACGGCGCCGCCCGUCCCCUCGCACCAGGCCCAGGACGACGGCGCCGUGGACGGCUGGGCGCGCGACGGCACGGAGUCCCCCCUCCCUUAUGGCGCUCCGGCAGAGUGCCCCGAGGCCGCAGAUCCUCCUCCCCUCCGCGGCUACGUCUCCUCGGCCGCUCGUGCGCGACCCUCAACUACUGCAGCGGUGGGAGGAGCCCUGCCACGACAUGCUCCCGCGAUCCUGCAUCCGCAAGAAAGCCACAUGGAUUGGGGAUAUGUACCUUGGUUUGGGUUUAAAGGGGCAAUCUUUGAGCAUUUGUAUAUCAACUAUCGAGGAUCUCAAGUUGACAUGGACCGCACUAUGAUCAAGUGCAUUCUGGUGCUAUGAUGAUUGUGACAGAAGAUGUUAGCUGCAGAAGCAAGCGCUAUGUCUCAGCUCCAAUAUUAAAAAUCAGUGCACCUGAAUUACGACACAAUUUUUGUCAUCUGAAACUGCGCUUAUAAGGUGUUUGGUCUGAAAGCUACGCUCCUGAAUACAAUGUGAUAUAAAAGGUUCAUGAAAUCAUCAGGUAUGGAAAUGCUUGACCGUUUUUGUAAGUUACUUAGUACAAUAUUAUCAGUUUGUUUUUUGCAUUAUUUCCCAGUUCUCUUGCAGUAAUAUUCAACAAGCUAUCUUCCUGCCUACUAGAUAAAAGAGGGGUUUUGUUUACUUAACAUGGUUGCCUGAUUAACAUAGUCAUGGUUUCUGUUAGUAUUUUUUCCACUACCAAAGCAACAACUUAUCUUCCUACCUACCAGAUAUACUAUUCCUUGAUUGCUUAGCUCCCGGCUUAAGAAGCUCCACCAUUCUUUUAUAUGAUAUUAGAAAAAAAUUGAGUUCUAACUUUGUUGAAAGACACGCACAAUUCUGAUGUUCUGGGGCCAAUGUUCAUUUCUAGAGGCAAAUACUCUCGGAUUUCUUAGUGAACUAUAAUCCCAUCUAGAUAACCCCCCUCGAUAUAGCUCCCUUUAUUUGCACGACACAAUCUAGCAUAUGACGGCUCUGAUUUGGAUUGUGCGUGUUUCUCCAAAAACUAGGAUUAUAUGCCUGAGAACAAACAAAUAGCAUUGUAAACUUACCUCAAAGCCUAUGGGUUGACUGAAGCUUGAUAAAUAGUUUCAGAUGCACUAUGGUCUCAUAACAGUAGAAAUAAAUUUCAAGGGAAAGAGAACCAUAAGUAUAGGUGAGUGCAUAGUAGAAGACGUGUAAUCGUGUUGCACUAUACUGUCUUUAUAGAAGCCGACAAAAUCAGAGACAUCCUAAAUUUGGUUUUCUGUUCUUGUCUGUUAAGAAAAGAAACAUUAACUCUUGGAUUAUCAGUAAGGGAAUAUGCCUUAUUAGCAUACUCUUAUGGUGGUUAUUAUUGCUCAACGUUGUGAGGAAAAAGAAGAAUAUUCAGAUUUUUCUAUUUGUGGUUAUAUCUUUUGGAUAAACAAUAGAAGGGUAAACUGCGAAGAAGAAACAUAAUGACCACCAGUAGUUAUAUCUUUAUUUUGAAUUAAUGAUAGCAAUAUUUUAGAAUAUUCAGAUUUUUUCAAUAUUUAUGGUGAUUAUAUCUUUUGCACAUUAACUCUGAAACUGAACUAUUUGUGUCGGGCUAGAGAAGCGUAAUUUCAAUACAAACUGCAAUUGCUUGGGCAAGAGAAAUCAACUCAAUACUACAAUUUUCCAUAUGAUGUAGUAAGAGGGGGCGUACCAUUGUAAACCGAUGUAGGGUGAAGGCUAGCCGCAUCUUUGGCGUGUGGUCAAACCCGGCAAGCUGCAACUAUGUGGAGCAUCCACAUUACUGCCACCACAUGCUUGCUAAAACAGUUAAUAUGUUCGUCCCCGUACAUCGGCCACAUCUUCGGCGAGCAUGCUUGAUGCCAAAAUCAGGCAACUAUUGUUGUAUUGAGUAUCCAGAGAUGAUAACCGUCAUGAAAAUCACUGCAUGGAUCGAUGAUAUCCCACACGGUCUUGUUUGCAUCAAAAGCGUGGCCCACUUUGGAUAAGAAUACACCAACCAUUUUGGUAAUGGGCAUCUCAACAGUUCUAUUUGGGCCUCAUUCCCCUAAUACGCUAGUAAUUGUCUCCUUUCCUGUAUUUCUCUUAGUCUCAUUCCCAAACACUUCAUGAUCUGAGAGAGGGAAUGCCAACAGCCAUGGCGGCAGUGUCCCCACCGUCCGUUCAUGCAACUUGAGAGGCUCUAGCGAUGACGCCUGAGAGGCAUCGCCGUCACUAAGUUUGCCACCAUCCUAGCCGCGACGACAAUGCGACAGAGCAUAUAGUGGAGGGCAGAGAAAGACAGUCGAGGGAGAUGGCUCAUCAGAAGAAUCCACAAAACGCGGAUGACCAGUGUAGUAGAGAAGAGGAUGAGGGAGAAUUACUGGGGAAGCCCAAGGGGACAAGCCAAGUGAGGUAGCCUCAGGUAAUGAACAAGGCGGGGAAGCCGCAGGUGAUGACGAACUUGAUAAAGAAGCCAUUAGAGGUAGAAGAAACUUCAAUCCCUAGGAAGUAGCAAAGAGGACCAAGAUUAGACAUAAGAAAUCCACUAUGACGAGCCUUCACAAAGGCAAAUGUACUUAGAGCCAUUGCCAGUGUUAUCGACAUAUAGAAGAAGAGUUCGACCACGAGUUGAAAGGUGGACAAGUGUAGGAUCAUGAGCACUCGCCGAAAACUAGCCGUAGUCACCAUCGAGACGAAACGUUCAAACCAGGCAUGAGAGGUUUGGUUAAGGCCAUAAAAAAGUGACGAAGACGACAAACCAUGUCAUCAAGAAGAGAAUACCCAGGUGGUGGCUACAUGUAGACCUCAUGCAACUCAACAUUAAGCCGAGAGACAGACCAGUGGUGAACAUAAGCCACAAUGAGAAGUGUGCGAAGGCCACGGGAGCAAAUGCUCAUUGUAGUCUUGGCCAUGUUCCCGAGGAAAGCCUCGCGCCACUAGAUGAGCUUUGUAACACUCAGGAGAACCAUCAGUGUAUUAACAUUAUAGACACACUUACAAGCGAUUGGACGAGCACGGGGAGGAAGAGAAAUGACAUCCCACGUGUCGAUGCGCACAAGAGCAACAAUCUCCUCUACAAUCGCAUGCCGCCAUUCGGGAUGAACAAAUGCGUCAUGAUAAGAAGUCGUCUCGAGAAAAGCGGCGCCAGAAUAACCAUAGUGGUCAAUAGGCGGAAGCGAGAGCUCGAAAGCCAUAAGUAGGCUGAGCUGGAGGCGGUGCAUUGCCAACAGGAGAGGACAUUGUAGUAGAGGGAAUGGCUCGUCAGAAGGAUCCAUAACACGCGGACCACAAGUGUAGUGAAGAUGAUGAAGGGGAAUCAUCGGGGAAGCCUCAUGGACGAGCUAGGUGAGGUAGCCUCAAGUAAUGAACGAGGUGGGGAAGCCACAUGUGACGACGUGUGGGGUCUAUAACAGUAGUACGGGAGGACACGCUGGGAUAGGUGGGCGAGGGCAAUAAAUGAGUGAUAAGUGUAUCGGGAAAAUUGAGGGAAGUAUCCUCAAUUGGGGGGGGGGCGAAGCAGAGGAUGGACGUGCAUAAAAAGGAUGAGACUCAAUGAGAAGUCACAUCUCGAGAAAUGCGCAUCCGAUUACUGACAAGAUCCCAACACUGAUAGCCCUUGUGCUCAUCACUGUAACCUAAGAAGACAUUCAACAGAUUGAUUAGACAGUUUGGUGCGUGAAGAAAGUAGCAAACACAACCAAACAAAGUGUUUAGUACUCCAUCCGUCCGAGAAUACUUGUCAGAGAAAUGGAUGCAUCUAGACAUAUUUUAGUUCUAGAUACAUCAUUUUUUAUCCAUUUGUGCGACAAGCAAUUCCGGAUGAAGGGAGCUGUCAGGGGAAUACCCACAAAGACGCUCAGAAUGUCACCAUGUAGAGCAAACAAGGGAUGAUUAUUGAUGAGAUAGGUGGCUACGAUCAUCAACGCACUAGCCGCCUCAUGAAGCUGGCGAUGCUUGCCUUAGCAACACCAUUCUGACCACGAGCACAAGACGAGAACUGAGCAAGUGUGCUUUUCUCAACAAGGAAUUCGUGCAGCAAUUGAGGGAUAUACACGAAAGGCAUGGAUAUGAGUGGAAAACUUAGUAUGAACCAAGGCGGCAAACUUCUUACAGAUAGACCUCACUACAAGAAGGCAUAAAAUAUAUCGACUUGUGUCGAGAGAAAUCAUUAUAAAGAUAAUAUAGUGGCGAUGGCCUCCUUUCAAGGCAAAGGCAGCUGGAUCCCAAAAAUCAGAGUGAACAAGAUCGAAAGGACGUGUUUACCCAACUAACAAUCUUGACUGUCUAAAGACACAUUACCAAAGACAGAUCCAAGGAGACCACGUCGAACUAAGGAUGAGAGUCAAGAACCACACAUGCGACUGCAACGAUCAUGCCAGAACAAGUGGGUAGACGAGGUAAGUGAGUCGAAGAGACUGGCGGCGGUGGUAGCGGAGGGAAGGCGAAGCCUGGCACACUCCAGAGGGCGUGUGAGUCAUAGCGCUGAGGGCCAACACCAAGUAGAGAACCCGUGUGCCGAUCCUAAAUCGGAACAAGAGUCGAAGUCGAGAAUGACCCUACAACCAAAUUAAAAAUCUAACCUCCUGAAAUGAGCUACCUGUUAAGUAUCAUUAGCAGUAAGAACAUGUACAUGAGAAUUUAGAGGGCCAUUGCGGUGUCGACUGCCUGUGCGGCUAUGGCGACGCGCUACAGGUAACACGAGAUGUGGGAUUGAGGCGUCACACAUAGCAGCCCAAAGUCAGGCGAAGGAUGCCCAGCUAGACUGGUAGGGAGCAGAGAGUACACGUGAGGUGUGGCGGAAGGUAAGAAAACAUUGUUGGGAGCGGACUGUCGUUGCCGUCGUUUGUUGUACUUGGAGACAAGCGUCGAGGGGAUGGCGAUUAGGGAAGGCGAGAAGAUGGUACUGGGAGGAGAAAGGCAUCAUUUGCCACCGUACAUACAUAUGUGCGCCAGUCAUGACGGUGGAUGGUUGUGGGCAAAUCUGGUAUCUGCAUGUGGGUUUGUUACUAGGCUUUGUUGGAUCAUAGUUAUGAUUUGUGCUAGAUUCCUUCCUUUGAAGAUUGAAGCUGGAGAACUUUAGGGUGUAGUAUGAUCAACCUGAGAUAUAUCGGAUUUAUAUAGGUAUAGUAUGAUUGGCAUGAGUGUGGUAUUGGUGGACUAUUGGAUCAUCUUGGAUAUUACUACUUGGAUUCUAGGUUGGAGGUAACUUGGGCACUAGGAUUUGUGAUAUUUUGACCUAAGCUUAUGGAUAUGGGCAUGUAGAUGAUAAAUGGAUCGGAGUUGGUAGACUUUGAUGAUUUUGCUAGCCCUCCUCAUAUGUAUUGGACUUAAAUAACUAUGAUACUAGGCUUGGUUGGAUCAUAGUUAUGAUUUGUGCUGGAUUCCUUCAUUUGAAGAUUGAAGCUAGAGAACUUUAGGGUGUAGAGUUAUCAACGUGAGAUAUAUUGGAUUUAUAUAGGUAUAGUAUGAUUGAAAUGAGUGUGAUAUUGGUGGACUAUUGGACCAUCUUGGAUAUUGCUACUUGGAUUGUAGGUUUAAGAUAAGUUGGGCACUUGGAUUUGUGAUAUUUUGACCUAAGCUUAGUAGCUUGUAUGUGCCCCAUAUGAAUAUGAGCCAUGGAGAUGAUACAAAUGGAUCGGAGUUGGUAGACUUCGAUGAUUUUGCUAAUUCUCCCCAAAAAUGUUAUGUACAAGAUCAUGGCCGUGGAGGGAAAACUAGGCAUGACUCAACCCAAUGUAUAAGAAGAAAUAUGAUUUUGACCAUGCGAAUGGAAAUACAUGUACAUGCAGUGCCAACGGAAAAAAUGUUAAUUUAGGGGAUUCUGGUACGAAGCCACCUUGCAAGAGGUUAUUGAGUGUAGGCAACCUUGUGUUGGUGAAGGACCCUUCCUUGGCGCCGAGGGAAAUGAAGUGACAGGGGUCUUAUGACUGUGAGGGCAAAAUUGGGAUGAGUAACUCAGCUCAGGGUUCCUCUUUGCAAGUUCAAGUGAAAAGGCAGAGGAUGGCAGGGCGUGCCGCUCUUGAUAGCGUUUGCAUCGCUUCUUCAUACCUCUCAUGCACUCUUCGUUUCCCGCCGAUUCGACUUGGCGUCCUUACCUUGUUUGAGGGUUAUGUGUCACGGACUUGGUUUCGCAUCGCACGUUCCCUUGCUGGAAGUCCCUAGCCUUGGUGACAGGUAGCGACGUGCACUUGGGCGCUUGGCGUCCUUGGGUAAGUUCGGGGGCGGUGCCCAAGCUUGCAGCUAUGGCGACAACUUGCUUGGGAGCAGAUGAUGUAGGAACAAGGCAGCACACGAGUAACUCGCAGCCAGGGAAAUGAUACCUAGCCGUACAUGCAGGCAGUGGAGAGUACACGGGAGGUGUGGGUAGGGGUGAAAAUGUUGUCGGGAGCAUACUGCUGCUGCCAUUUGUUAGCCUUUAGAUCUAGAGCCGAGUGGCGAAGGUAUGACGACAGGGGAAGCGGGGAAGAUUACUUCCUUUGAAGAUUGAAGCUGGAGAACUUUCGGGUGUAGUAUGAUCAACCUGAGAUAUAUCGGAUUUAGAUAUGUAUAGUAUGGUCGGCAUGAGUGCGGUAUUGGUGGACUAUUAGAUCAUCUUGGACAUUACUACUUGGAUUCUAGGUUGGAGGUAACUUGGGCACUUGGAUUUGUAAUAUUUUGACCUAAGCUUAGUAGCUUGUAUAUGCCCCAUCGGAUCAUCUUGGAUAUUACUACUUGGAUUCUAGGUUGGAGGUAACUUGGGCACUUGGAUUUGUGAUAUUUUGACCUAAGCUUAGUAGCUUGUAUGUGCCCCAUAUAUGGAUAUGAGCAUGGAGAUGAUACAAAUGGAUCGGUGUUGGUAGACUUUGAUGAUUUUGCUAGCCCUCAUGUGUAUUGGACUUAGAUAACUAUGAUACUAGGCUUGGUUGGAUCAUAGUUAUGAUUUGGUGCUAGAUUCCUUUGAAGAUUGAAGCUGGAGAACUUUAGGGUGUAGUAUGAUCAACCUGAGAUAUAUCCGAUUUUUAUAUGUAUAGUAUGAUUGGCAUGGGUGCAGUAUUGGUGGACUUUUGGAUCAUCUUGGAUAUUACUACUUGAAUUCUAGGUUGGAGAUAACUUGGGCACUUGGAUUUGUGAUAUUUUGACCUAAGCUUGGUAGCUUGUAUAUGCUCGAUAUGGAUAUGAGUAUGGAGAUGAUACAAAUGGAUCGGAGUUGGUACACUUUGAUGAUUUUGCUAACCCUCCCCAAGAAUGUUAUGAGUACAAGAUCAUCAUGGGAGGAUGAUUUGGAUUAAUUAGAAUAGAUGGCAAUUUCAGUGGUAUGUGCCUUUUUGGGGCAACUGAUCUUGCUUUUAUUAUGUGUUGGAUGCAAUAGUAGUUGGAGAGUAUGACUUAUGAAGUGAUAUUAUAUUCUUGGAUAAAUAGAUCUUUAAUAAACCUUGGGUGAUUGUGAUCUUGAAAAAAAUCUCGUGGAUGAUAAUUUUUCUAAUUUUUUUAUCUAUAGUCAUCAAGUGCAAGCUUGCUUUAUAUUGGACUUCCAAACCGUGAUACUAAGCUUGGUUGGGUCAUGAUUAUGAUUUGUUCUAGAUUCCCACCUUUGAAGAUUGAACCUGGAGAACUUUUGGGUGUAGUAUGAUCAACGUGAGAUAUAUUGAAUUUAUAUAGGUGUAGUACAAUUAGCAUGAUUGUGGAAUUGGUAGACCAUUGGAUCAUCUUGGAUUGAAUUACUUGCAAGGAAACAAAGAUCUUUGAGUAAUAGAAAUGGUGUUUGGUUAGAUGAUAUAACUACUUGGAUUCUAGGUUGGAGAUAAAUUGGGCACUUGGAUUUGUGAUUUUUUUUACCUAAGAUUAGUAGCUUGUAUGUGCCCCAUGUGGAUUCGAGCAUCGAGAUGAUACAAAGGGGCAGACUUUGAUAGUUUUGAUGGCCCUCCGUGAGAAUGUUAUGAGUACAUGAUCAUCAUGGAAGGAUGGUUUGGAUUAAUUAUAAUAGAUGGCAAUUUUGUUGGUAUGUUCCUUGUUGGAGCAGCUGAUCUCGAGAAAUGCGCAUCCGACGACUCACCAGAUCCGAACACCGACAACCCUUGUGCUCAUCACUAUAACCUAAAAAGACACACUCAACAUAUUGAUCAGACAAUUUGGUGCGUGAAGAACGUAGCAGAAGCAACCAAACAAACAAAGUGUUUAGUAGUUACGAGAAUGCCACAAAGACGCACGAGAGGAAUAGAACCGUGUAGAGCAGAGGAAGUAUGAAUGUUGAUGAGAUAGGUGGCUACGAUCAUCAACGCACUAUCCGCCUCAUGAAGGUGCCGAUGCUUGCGCUCAGAGCGGCACCAUUCUGAGCCUGAGCACGAGGGUAAGAGAACUGAGCAAGUGUGAUAGCUUGCAUGUGCCCCAUAUGGAUAUGAGCAUGGAGAUGAUACAAAUGGAUCGGAGAUGGUAGACUUUGAUGAUUUUGCUAACCCUCCUCAUAUGUACCGGACUUAGAUAACUACGAUACUAGGCUUGGUUGGAUCGUAGUUAUGAUUUGUGCUAGAUUCCUUCCUUUGAAGAUUGAAGCUGGAAAACUUUAGGGUGUAGUAUGAUCAACCUGAGAUAUAUCGGAUUUAUAUAGGUAUAGUAGGAUUAGCAUGACUACGGUAUCGGUGGACUAUUGGGAUCGUCUUGGAUAUUGCUACUUGGAUUCUAGGUUGGAGAUAACUUGGGCACUUGGAUUUGUGAUAUUUUGACCUAAGCUUAGUAGCUUGUAUGUGCCCCAUAUGGAUACGAGCAUGGAGUUGGUAGACUUUGAUGAUUUUGCUAACAACCCUCCCCCCCACCCCACCCCAAGAAUGUUACGAGUACAAGAUCAUCAUGGGAGGAUGAUUUGGAUUAAUUAGAAUAGAUGGCAAUUUCAAUGGUAUGUGCCUUUUUGGAGCAGCUUAUCUCGCGUUUAUUAUGUCUUUGUGCUAGUUUAGAUGCAAUAGUAGUAGGAGGGGGUAGCAUAGGAGGCACACCUCCCCCUUGCCACCGUCAAGGCCGAAACCUGGCGAGAGGGAGACAUGCAUGAGCGGGUCGGGGCAGAAAGCACAAGGCUGCACUUUAGCAUCUUCAUCGGCACCUCGUUGGGGUCGUCCACCCAUGCCCUGACAACAAAGUACGAGAGGUCGAGCCUGUCGAAGGAUUCAAUGGCCAUAUGGUAGAUUAGGCAUUCGGGCAACAGUUCUUGGGCGGUUUGAGGCGAGAACUCCCGCAGGGGAUGCGUUGGAUGGACAACCCAACGCUGUAGCAGCAUUGAACCGAUGUGGCGAAGGUUAUCUUGUUCGACCGCCACACUAGGAGCAGCGUGCCGCGGUAGUGUACUGCGUCCACCCCACGAACCAUGUCGAACCACCGGUAGUGCGUGAAGCUAGCGAAGAAAGAUCCUAGCUGCAUGAGAGAGACCUGAAAGCCGUUUGUUCGAAAGCUCCGGGAAGUCGUCCUUGAUGCCCUCAACAAUUUUUACCAGGAUUAGAGACGACCUCGUACCCGCCACCAUGAGCACCAGCGCCAAAUCCCAUAGGUAAGAACAUAUCCUCGAUGAGGCACCUCGUCUUGCGCGAGCGGGUGUUGCCCCUCGCUGGGUCGUACGCGAACCUAGCCGACAUGGAAGGCUCCAGCGACGAAGGGGCGGGUGGCUCCUUGUCGGGAAAGGUGAACCUGGAAUGAGUCGGCGAUUCGGGUGGUCGAGGGGUUGGGGGGACCAGCCUGGAUUGGACUGACUAGCGGAGGCGGCGGGGGUGGCAGCUGCACUCACGGCCUUGGCGGUGGUCAAGGCGGGGCUAAGAGUAGUGAUGGACUCAUUAGCGGCGGCCAGGUCAUCAUGGCGGCGCGUGAAGUUCCUUCUGAAGCACAUCCUCUAGCCCAAGUGGUACAUUUGUUCAUUUGUGAUAUGUUCUGUUAGUGUUAUGUUCUCGUUGUCUCUUGCUCUGUUUCUCUUGCCCAUAGGUACAUUUGUUCAUUUUCGUAGACCUGCUAUGUUCUAUUGUAAUUCGAGUUCAAAUGUCAAGUUGCGCCGCCACAAAAUGCUGCUACUUUAACUUCUGUAAGCGCAGCGAGCAGCAUAGGCAGCCGCUGCAGCUGCUCACAUGGAACGUAUGCCCUGUUGCAGCCUCGCAGGUACCCACACCUCUCCCUCCUCUUGAUUUGAUCCCCGUAAAUUCUCAGCUUUAUUUCUGUGGAUUUUUGUUUUAUCUAUGCCUGUUAUGUCUUUGACAAAAUCCAAGCAGAUUGAGGGGAAGAUCUUGUGCUUAGUUUUUUUACUCAAGUAUUUCAUCUUUCUCUCAAAUUUAGCUCCAAUGAAUUGAUUUUUUUUGGCAUCACUUUUUUCCCUGGAGAUCAUUAUCAUCUCAUCUCACCACACUCAUGCCACAUAACCUGGCGAGCUCACUCCUUACUCAUUCUAUGUACCACAUUUGUAGAUCAGUUUAAGGUACUGUUAAUGAACCAAAGUUUAUGUUGUUGGCCUUGCCAAAAUGCCAUGCAGCUUAACAUUCGACACUUCCUUCAAAGGGGUCCUUCAGCCUCCAAGGAGAAGGGAAGUGAUGUCUGACAGGGAAAGAAACUAGGCGAAGCUCUGGAUGCUCGAUCGAGUACGCACCCAAUUAGCACUCUACUUCGUCGGUUGUCCACUGAAAUUUGCUCCAUGACAUCUUGCUUGCCAUGUGGUCACCUUACCUCAAAUUUGCUCCAUGACAUCUUGCUUGCCAUGUGGUCACCUUACCUCAAAAUUGACAUAUUAUAAUCUAUGAACUACUACAAGUAAACUAUACAACCAAAUGAUUGUUCCAAAAAUUCAAAUUUGCACCAUGCUUUCCACCUGAUCUGCCAGUUUAACUAUCUUAAUUGUACCGCAGACAUUUGAUGUGUGGUAGUACGUGUGUGAUGAAUCAUGGUGUAGUAGCAAACUACCAACUGAAUUUUUUGACAUACAAUGGAUUUCUUUCUGCCUCUAUUUGAUGCUCGGUGGUGCUGAUCUGAAGGUCCGUGCGGACCCUGCUCUGGACAUAUGUCUCCUUAAUUUCCGUGUGCAAUUGUGCAAUCCAUGCUUUACACUUUAAAAUGAGACAAUAAAAUUUAGCUCAUGUUGCCCUUCCAUCAUGCACCCAGAAUAUAUUACCUUUCUGCUUUUUAUAUUUUGGUUGGGCAUGUUUCAUGAUCAGAGGAUUGAUGAUUUGUUAUGCUAGACAAUGGAAAUAAGAUUUGGUGGAAAACAAAUGAUAUGAUAGGUGAUUUAUGAUGUACUACUAUUUUAGAUAAUAAUACUAAGCUUUUAUUUGGUUGUUCUGCAUUUUUUCCCUUUGCAAAGAUAGAUAUUAUAAGAGAUAAACAUCAUGUACAGGUUAACUUUUUAUGUGCCUAUUAGUAUGCCUUGCUGCCAGGUGGAAAUAGUCUAUAUGAUGCUCAUAAAUAGAGCUUCCUGGUGGGAAGGAUGAGGCACACUCAUUGAUACUUUGGUUUUAUGUCCAUUUGUUAUACAGUUUUUCUCUUCCAAGCAUAUAAACUUUAGCAAAUUAGAGUGUGCAAUCAAGUCUCCUAAGUGAACAGUUUUACCAUAUUAUCAAGUUUGAGGGCAUAUACGAUACGAGCAUAUAAGAUAAGAGCAUGUCAUGCUACAUGAAAAUCUGCCUGGAGAUCUAAUUUCGUAUUUUUUUCUAUUUUGUCGGUUAGAAAACCAGUUUCCUGAGUUGUUAGUCUGAGUAUUCAAAUUGAUCCGCAGAGUUCAGGGCUUCUGGAUGGAAGAGUUUCCUACAACGUCAAAAUCUUAGUACUCUCUACAUAGACUUCGUAAUUAUGCCCGACUUUUUCUGAAGAAUUGAUGAAGUAUCUUUUAUUUGGGUUGUUUGUGCAUUUGCAGUGUUGGAGGUGUUAGUGCAAGAUUGUAGAGUUGGAAAGUAUAGUACAACGUCAAGUCGGUGCAGGGACUUGGUGAAGUCAUCAGCCUCGACUGUGUCUACUUCCCCGAUGGUUUUGACUUCUGACUAGUGAUUCUGAUGCAUAUUACUUGAUGAUUUGGUCUUUGUGGCAGCUUUCAGUUUGAACUGGCAUUCAGUGGCUUCAUCCUCUUUGGUGCAGCCUGGAGUUAGUAGUGUGCACAUCUGAAUCUCUUGACUUUUUCCUGAAGCAUAUUACGUGGUUUAUGGUGUCUGCUAACUUGCAUGCGGUUUUGAUGGAAUCUGAUCUCGUUUUUAGCUCCCAGUAUAUACAAAAGGCUAGAAGUAAAUGAUGGAAGAUCCUUUUGCUCAAACGAGGGUCCUACUUUCAUACCCAAAGUUUGUAUAGUAGAUAAUCAAAUUUUGGCCUUUAGCUUGCAAAUGUAUCACCUUAUAGAAGUAAAGGUUGCAUCUACAUGAGCUCUGAUUAUCUCCAUAUAUACUUGAAUUGCUUUGGGGUCACGCUUGGAUUUAUCAGACUACCAUUCUACAUACUGUUCUCGAUGAUUGCACUUGGUUUGUUAAUUUAUGUACCUUAUGUCAAAAAACAUUAUCCAAAAUUAGUUUUUGGUAUACGCAGACUUUGAAAUUUGUUGAUAAAGAAAGAUCACGCCUAAUUUGCUCGCUCUCUGUUGACACUUAACCUGGCCUCCUGACUUUGUAGUUGGAUAAUGUUGAUGACUCGAUAUGCGGAGAGAGGUUAGGAAUUGUUGCUAUGGAUUAAAACAAUGCAGAGUUGAAGGUUCUGAACUGGGAACUUGAACAAAUAGUUUGCCUACCUUUCUUGUGGAAUUGAUUUUUUAGAAGUGAAUGUUCUUCUGGUUGGUGCUUCUUCAGUGGGAUCUGGACCAUGGAAUCUUCAAUUGCAUCUGCUUGGUUCACUGGGAAUUUCCUAGUUUUAAUUUGAUUGACAACUAGCAAAACAGUCCGGCUAAUUUGAUGAUUAAUUCCUGCUGAUUGUACACUUUCAACUCAAGUUCCUGCUGAUUCUACACUUUCAACCCAAGUUACAUUGUACCAUAUGCCAGUUUGUUUCAUACCUCGUCCAUCCUGGAUUUUUAGACGCAAAGCAUCUGGAUUUUAAAACAAGAAAUAACAUGUCUUUAACAAAAUUAUUCACACAAAGAUCAUGCCCAAGAUUGAAUCUCUCAUCUUUAAAAUAAAUUUGGACAGCAGGGAUCUCUCAUCUUUACAGUAAAUUUGGACAGCAGGGAUCUCUCAUCUUUACAGUAAAUUUGGAUAGCAGGGAUGAUCAGUAGAAAAGCUAUGAUAGCAAGGAAGUGGUGUUUCUGAACUCGAGCACACAUGUGCUCUUUAUCUGGGCGGUUCGUCAUAGCAUUGGGAUGCGGUGCAUUUACUUUCUGCGUCAGGCUGUUGUUCACUGGAAAAGGGGGAAAUGCAGAAAUACGGCCGACGGGUAUCUUGUACGGUGGGCCAGGUUUGUGGCGGAGGAGCACCUCCUUUAACGAUUCAAAACAGGGUCGUGGCUCAUGCCGUCAUUCCCGUCCUGAUCCGUGGAUCAGGUUUAGGGCCUCAGUAGCCAAGUAAAUGGAGGGAUGGGUUGCUGGGCAGAGUUCUCUCCUACCUCCGGCUCCUGGUUUUUCCUAUUAUCGAGUGGGGCUAGAUGGGCGGCGGAGCUUCUAUUCGAAGGAAACAAAGGCUAGCGCAGAAGAUGGAAUUUCUGAUGCAAUUGAUUAAAAGAACCACCAUGCUGGAGGACGUUAACGAUGGCAAUGUACUCAUGGAGCCACUACACUGCCAGUGGUCGCAACCGUUGCAGAUCCGCUGCCGCCAUGGGCGGCAGCUAGUACGGAAGGCCAGAUCUGUGCGGCUGAUGGCGUGGUCGAUACUGAAAUCGAUGGUUUACUGCAAGCAUCUGAGCAGUCGAUUACUUGAUUUGUUAGAUCGACCCAAAAGCCCCAGCAUGGACUCGAAGUGGGGAUCGGUGCUGCCGCACCAGGAAGGUCACCUUGUCCUAAUCGCACUAGUGCACUGGAGAAGGCAAUUCAUGGUUUUGCGGAAAAUCCAGGAGAUGAUGUGAUUGUCCCUGCACUAGGAACAAGCUGAUUGUUUGAGUGAAGCCUUCGACUAUUGCCAUUGGACUUCGAUUCUUUUGGGUGAAGCAUAUGACUUUUACAAGCUUCGGUUCUUUGACAAAUCUAUAUUUUAGUAAUCCUCCUUAUUUUCUGAAACUGAUGUAUGGUGGUAUGAUGUACUCCCUCCGUCCCAAAAUUCUUGUCUUAGAUUUGUCUAGAUACGGAUGUAUCUAACACUAAAACGUAACUAUAUACAUCUGUAUUUAGACAAAUCUAAGACAAGAAUUUUGGGACGGAGGGAGUACAUUGAAAUGGAUUUCUAAAGUGACAGUAAAUUAGACAACUAUUUUACGAUGUGUAGCCAAAAGCCAAAAGGAUAAUUGCACUAUUAUCAGAAUCAAAUAUGAUUUCAGUCUGGAGAAAAUCUGCCUUUUCUUCUUCCUUUGUGACUUCCAAUAGUCUAAAUCAAAAGCCACUGGGUUGUACUGUUUUUCAGUGCAUUUUGAAAGUUGUUAACAAAAAGUAGGAACAAAUGACCCAAUUUCUUUGCAUUCAUUUUUGUUGGGUUUGCUUUCUUUUCACCUUCAUUCUGUACUUUUGUGCUUUUGUACUGACUUUGCAUACUCCGAAUCCUAGUAUUUUGUAUGCACUAGCAACUUCACACUUAGAUAAUUAUUCUUGUGGUCACACUGAAGCUGUUAUUUCACCAUUACAAGUUGUACUGAUUGUCACCGUACUUUGUGAGCCGUGCUGUCGUCAUGUUGUAGCGAUUUUUCCUGAGAACGAUGAACUACCAUCUGUUUUCCUAUUAAUCUUCAGAUCUUCUCGAAUGUUUUAUGUUUACAGAGGUACUGCCACAUCUUAGCUUUUGCAGAUGAAUUGAUAUGCGUCUUUGGUUGGCUGACCAAACAUGGUAACACUGUCAACUAAACCAGACCGCGUUCAGAAAAUAGUUGAGUGCGGUAUUUGAAACAUGGCGUGAAGCCGUGAACCAUCUGCACACCUGAACUUGAGUUUGAAUCUUGAAUUUCGGAACUGUUGAGCGGGAAAAGCUUUGGAUUUCUAUUGGAUGUUCAAUAGAAAAGCCAUAAUAGCAUACAUACUUCAUAGUUCAGAAUAUUCAUAGGAUGUGCAAGACAAUCAUAAGUACCAUUCUAAAUGACAUGCUCGGCCUUUGGCUUUUGGAUCAGACCUGGAAAUCACGAGCACCCACAUGCUCCCAAGAAACUACAGAACAUCCAACAUAUAAAUCUUUUUUUUGUUCAUAUGAUGUACUCUGGCUCCAGAUUUUAUGGCAAAGCAUCCAAAAGACGAACCAAGCAUCCAAAUUUUCUGACACCCGAGACAAAGAACUGCAGACCAACAAAGGCCGAGCUCCAAAAGCUAAACUCUAACCAGACAAGAACAAAUCUACUACUCCAGUAGAUACCCUAUUACAAGGUCCCACCAGGGUCACAAUCUGAGUGACAAAUUGCAUGUUCAUGUAUAUGAAAAUAGAGCAAUGUGAAGCAGGGAAGAACAUGUUGCUUUGUUGACACAUUUAAGUUGCUGGCAGGGAAGAACAUGUUGCUUUGUUGACACAUGUGAGUUCAUCCCUGCAGUGCGAAGUCACCGCCCCCAACGGCAUACUACAGUCAUAGUUGGCGGCAGAAGCAACGACAAGAACGACGAUGAAGCACGCGGACCAGGAGGGGAGAUGGAGAUGGACCUGCAAGAUGGAUGAUGAUGAAUGUCUUUUGGUUUCCAUUAAAUAUAUAGCAGGAGAACACUUGUAAUGCUAGCUUGUAGCCAGUCAUGGUGGCGGAGUUUACGGGCAUUAACUGACUGCUAAAUUUUCCUGUAGACUGCAAACUAAUUCAUGAUGAGCUACUCCAGCUAGUCCAAGAUUAUAUUAGGAGAUAAUCAUGACAAGUAAUUACUAUCUCCAUUCAUAAAUACACAACAUUCUAGAA
Molecule: long non-coding RNA, 16268 nt
Organism: Triticum aestivum (bread wheat)
Lineage: Eukaryota; Viridiplantae; Streptophyta; Magnoliopsida; Poales; Poaceae
Exons: 6
Source: RefSeq, a predicted model, not a curated record